RNAcentral lists this ribosomal RNA (276 nucleotides) under uncultured bacterium. Its description in RNAcentral is "partial 16S ribosomal RNA". It matches the Rfam family "Bacterial small subunit ribosomal RNA", at positions 29 to 319 of the family's 1533-position model. The record is from RNAcentral.
AGCGAACGCUGGCGGCAGGCCUAAUACAUGCAAGUCGAGCGGUAAGGCCCCUUCGGGGGUACGACGAGCGGCGGACGGCUGAGUAACGCGUAGGAACAUACCCCAAAGUGAGGGAGUAAGCACUGGAAACAGUGUCUAAUACCGCAUGUGAUCCAAGGAUUAAAGCUUCGGCGCUUUGGGAAUGGCCUGCGUAAGAUUAGCUUGUUGGUGAGGUAAUGGCUCACCAAGGGCGACGAUCUUUAGCUGGUCUGAGAGGAUGAUCAGCCAGACUGGGAC